AAGUUAUAAAGCUAUUCGAUAUAUAAGUAACACUCGUGUAACACUUUGGUUUUAUGUAACACUUGGUUGUAACACUUUUAUAUUAGGUAGCACUUAGUUGUAACACUUUAAUUUUAGGUACCAUUUGAUUGUAACACUUUCAAUUUAAAAGCAUAUGAUAAAAAUAAUAAUAAAAAAAUAUUUUAUCACUUCUCUCUUUCCCCCUUUACUCUUUCCCAAUUCCUUGAUCUCAAUUUUCCCUCUCUUUAAAACUCAGUUUCUCACUCACCGCCUCAACAGCCACCCCACGUUGGCGCCCACCCAUUGGCCAAUGAAUGAAGUUCUCACCGGCCACCUUACGUCCCCACCCACUGGCCAAAGAAGUCCGUUACCCCACGAGCACACGGGUUGAGUGACGAAAGGGGCUUUCUGUUGGAAAACCCUAGAUGAAUAUUCAAUAGAAACUUUGAUGAUAGAUGAGAUUAUGAUGGAGCUAGAUGAUGUGAUAAAUCAAUAACGAGCACCAUCAAUCAUGAAUUGAAGAAGGGCAUAGGAAAAUUGGGUGGUUGAUUUUAGCGAAGAGAGAGAACAAGGACAUAGGCUGGCUUCAAACCUUGUAGACGCCUCAAUGGCUUCAUCUUUGACCAGGAAUCCUUGCUUUUGCCCACUAGUAGGACCUGUCCAGAGUAAGGCUUAAAAAUAGUUCAACUUGGCCAUCUUCUUCUAUUAUUUUGCUGCUGAUAUCCGCUACUGCUAUCUAGUGCUACUGUUAUCUGAUGCUACAUCUGCUGCUGGUAUAGAUGUCAGCUAUUACUAGCUGUUGUUACUGCUUAGUGGUUGCUACUAUCUGCUAUUAUUACUCCUGCUUAUUGUGCUGACUGUUUUUGGAAUUUGGGGGGCUAGAGAUCGGAGUUGACUUUCUUUUUAUUUUGAUUAUUAUUGGUUGGCCAAACAAAAAAUUUGGUAUUUAUGUAUGUAAUUUGUAAGAACUAUGAAAUUAUUUCAAUUAAAAUUAUUGUCUAUUGUAUAUGUUAA
Chenopodium quinoa (quinoa) is the source of this 1014-nucleotide long non-coding RNA. RefSeq lists it as uncharacterized. The transcript is spliced from 2 exons. The record is from RefSeq and is a predicted model, not a curated record. NCBI's taxonomy places the organism in Eukaryota, Viridiplantae, Streptophyta, Magnoliopsida, Caryophyllales, Amaranthaceae.